GCGGACGAAGCUCAGUGGUUAGAGCACUACGUCCUGGACGUAGGGGUCGAGAGUUCGAAUCUCUCCGUCCGCUCCA
This 76-nucleotide transfer RNA is filed under the name bacterium. RNAcentral's name for it is "tRNA-Gln". It matches the Rfam family "tRNA". From Rfam's summary of the family: Transfer RNA (tRNA) molecules are approximately 80 nucleotides in length. Their secondary structure includes four short double-helical elements and three loops (D, anti-codon, and T loops). The record is from RNAcentral.